AGUAGUUACGGAUUCUAUCGCUUCCUUUUUAGGAAGAGGAAAGUCCGGACAAGGUAGAGAAACAUAGCGGAUAACAUCCGUCCUCCGUGAGGAGCGGACAAGUGCAACAGAAAGCAAGUACAGUUCGGCUGUAGUGAAAUCAGGUAAACUCUAUGUCUUGCAAUGCCAUGUAAACUAAGGUUUGAGGCUUUCUCGGCCAACUUAGGGGGUAGGCAGAUAGAGGUAAAAAGUAAUUUUUAUCCUAGAUAAAUGAUAGAUCCAUUUUGGAAACAGAAUCCGGCUUAUGAGUAACUACUAAAA
Molecule: RNase P RNA, 300 nt
Filed under: Flavobacteriales bacterium
Lineage: Bacteria; Pseudomonadati; Bacteroidota; Flavobacteriia; Flavobacteriales
Description: RNase P RNA component class A
Rfam family: Bacterial RNase P class A
About the family: Ribonuclease P (RNase P) is a ubiquitous endoribonuclease, found in archaea, bacteria and eukarya as well as chloroplasts and mitochondria.
Source: RNAcentral